ACUCCUACGGGAGGCAGCAGUGGGGAAUAUUGGACAAUGGGCGAAAGCCUGAUCCAGCAAUGCCGCGUGAGUGAAGAAGGCCUUAGGGUUGUAAAGCUCUUUCACCGGGGAAGAUCAUGACGGUACCCGGAGAAGAAGCCCCGGCUAACUCCGUGCCAGCAGCCGCGGUAAU
This 172-nucleotide ribosomal RNA is filed under the name uncultured Alphaproteobacteria bacterium. RNAcentral describes it as "partial 16S ribosomal RNA". It matches the Rfam family "Bacterial small subunit ribosomal RNA", at positions 335 to 524 of the family's 1533-position model. Lineage: Bacteria; Pseudomonadati; Pseudomonadota; Alphaproteobacteria. The record is from RNAcentral.